RNAcentral lists this ribosomal RNA (254 nucleotides) under uncultured bacterium. RNAcentral's name for it is "partial 16S ribosomal RNA". It matches the Rfam family "Bacterial small subunit ribosomal RNA", at positions 524 to 776 of the family's 1533-position model. The record is from RNAcentral.
UACGUAGGCAGCGAGCGUUGUUCGGAGUUACUGGGCGUAAAGGGUGCGUAGGCGGUUGUUUUAAGUUUGGUGUGAAAUCUCCCGGCUCAACUGGGAGGGUGCGCCGAAUACUGAAUGACUAGAGUGCGGGAGAGGAGAGUGGAAUUCCUGGUGUAGCGGUGAAAUGCGUAGAUAUCAGGAGGAACACCUGUGGCGAAAGCGGCUCACUGGACCACAACUGACGCUGAGGCGCGAAAGCUAGGGGAGCAAACAGG